RNAcentral lists this long non-coding RNA (494 nucleotides) under Brachypodium distachyon (stiff brome). RNAcentral describes it as "long non-coding RNA (BDIS_LNC004003)". The record is from RNAcentral. Lineage: Eukaryota; Viridiplantae; Streptophyta; Magnoliopsida; Poales; Poaceae.
GAAGCCUAUCUAUCUGCGUAUGUCCCUAGACGUCUCGAACGUCCCCUGUUUUCCUCUCGUUUCGUGCUAUAGGAUGGUCCGAUUGCUUCGUCAGUCCCUAGUCCAGUCCGGAUAGCUGUUUUGCUCCAUAACUAUAUCCACUCGAAGGCUCGAAAAAGCUCCAGCGCUGAGGCACAGUCUGCUGACGAAGGGGCAGUCGCCUGUAGUGAUCGAUGGAUCGCUCCUGACCCUUUAACAAGUCUUGAGCUCUCUUUUUUUUUUUCUGACAGCAAGUCUUGAACUCUCUUAAAUUGCCCACAUCCCGAGUAGACAGCCACAUCACAUGGUUAGGCACGAUAAUUAUACUCCAUAUCAUAUCUCCAACAGAGUCGAUUGUUCCAUCGCCACCCACUCCCAUGACUCCUUUCCCUCUCAAGUUAAAAGGAACCUCCUCUUAAUUUCAUUCAGGAUCGGUUCUCCUUUUCCGUGUCGGGAACUCGGCGCGGUGCGUGCCA